GAUGAACGCUGGCGGCGUGCCUAAUACAUGCAAGUCGAGCGAACAGACGAGGAGCUUGCUCCUCUGACGUUAGCGGCGGACGGGUGAGUAACACGUGGAUAACCUACCUAUAAGACUGGGAUAACUUCGGGAAACCGGAGCUAAUACCGGAUAAUAUAUUGAACCGGAUGGUUCAAUAGUGAAAGACGGUUUUGCUGUCACUUAUAGAUGGAUCCGCGCCGCAUUAGCUAGUUGGUAAGGUAACGGCUUACCAAGGCAACGAUGCGUAGCCGACCUGAGAGGGUGAUCGGCCACACUGGAACUGAGACACGGUCCAGACUCCUACGGGAGGCAGCAGUAGGGAAUCUUGCGCAAUGGGCGAAAGCCUGACGGAGCAACGCCGCGUGAGUGAUGAAGGUCUUCGGAUCGUAAAACUCUGUUAUUAGGGAAGAACAAAUGUGUAAGUAACUAUGCACGUCUUGACGGUACCUAAUCAGAAAGCCACGGCUAACUACGUG
Molecule: ribosomal RNA, 497 nt
Filed under: uncultured bacterium
Lineage: Bacteria
Description: partial 16S ribosomal RNA
Rfam family: Bacterial small subunit ribosomal RNA
Source: RNAcentral